Molecule: long non-coding RNA, 1782 nt
Filed under: Triticum aestivum (bread wheat)
Lineage: Eukaryota; Viridiplantae; Streptophyta; Magnoliopsida; Poales; Poaceae
Description: long non-coding RNA (TAES_LNC003446)
Source: RNAcentral
CUGGAUGAUUAAGAUGAUAUUUUUUCUAACUGAAUUAGUUUGUCCCCUAUUUCAGAAGUAACGCUUAAAAGCCUGAAUAGAAUUCCUUGGGAAAGGGUAGAUGUUAGCUUCAAGAGAAGUAGACAAUGGAUUUUUGCCCAUAGCACCAUUCAGGUAUGUUAUGAACCCCAUUACCUUGGUAAUAGUUUUCCUGGUGUUACUUAAUUAUCCCCUGGUAUAUUCUGUUGUCUCCAUACAUGUUAAUCUGAUAACAUAUACAAAGGCUGUGUAGGUAAUGGCAUAGCAGAUUUUAGUUUCAUGAUCUUACUUAAAUGUAGUUCUGGCGAUAGAUAGCUUUACACUAUCCGUCAUGUGCAUGACUGUCGAAGUACAUCAUCAUUAUGAUGUGUAUGGUUUCUCUAUUUUUAGCCCUACUGCUCCUGUCCCAUGACCAUGCCCCCACCUCUCCUUUGUUGAAUGAAGGGAGUCUGGUUGCUAAAAAGUGAGUUUUCUUAAUCAGUAUGUAUGGCCCCUCUGCACAUGCUGUUUCUUCGUAUUUAUGAGGCCCUCAAGCUUUGUCAGUUUUCUGAUAGAUAUGGAAUUUUAAUUUGAUAGUCCCAACAACGGUGGGUAUUGAUGGAGCUAUCUAUUAUUUAUUGUCAAUCUGUAAUACUUUUGUCAGCUUCUAGCAUGUCGUUGCUCUGCCAGAGUGCAAUUUUCUCUGCAUGGCAUACACCAGUUACCAUUAGUUGAUAUGUUUGUUGAAGUUUUAUUGCAAGUUAAAUAAAUGUGGUGUGGCAUACUGAUUAUUAUAGUUUGAUAAUGUCAGGCGCCGAUGGCUUUAGAUAUGUAAAUAAAAUAUGGUGAUUGUCACCGGCAUGUAGUGUGGCAUACUAAUCAAAUGACUAAGCAUUUAAUUAUUGUUCUGUUAUGUUAUUGAUUUCACCGGCUUUAUGUCGGCCGAUUAGUUCUGAAGGAUUCCACAUCGGCUAAUUUAGAUUAUGUUACUAGAGUAUUAGAAGAAGUUCCUGAUAUAUGUAUUUAGAGCAUUUGCGGAGAUUUGAUACAAAAUAUUGAUGACCAGGCAUUAUACUGCGCAUAAGCACAAUUUUUUAGUUUUUCUUUUUAUUGUUGCAGCAGCUUUUCUAUAGCAAUAGCCAAAUAGUGUGACAUAACACUAUUCCAUUUUCACAGGCCAUAACACAUCUUUACAUGUAAGUUUGUUCUCUAGAUAGUUCUCUUUCCAAGAUUUUCAUAUCAUAUUUGUUGUGGGAUCUGACUGCUUUACCAUAUUUUCCUGGUGUGGACGAUGUUAUAGAGUGAGCUACCAUCACUUCUCAUUACUGACUGUAAUCUAUGUGUUUAUGCCAUAAAAGAUGGAUAUUUGUCGAAGCCAUUGUCGUGUCAUGUAAUUACCUGGAGAUCAGCUAUUUAGUUUUGUUCAGAUUGUAAAGUGGAAAUGACAACUCCCGUGUGAUUGUCAUUUGAUUAUUUACUUCCUCAAGUAGUAUGGAUAUGGUGCUGCCAGGAUAUUAAGUAUAUUCAUGAAGUUGUAUAAACCACGUUCUACGAUUCACUUCUGUUAUGCAUUUUUACUUUCCAGUUUUAGGACUGAAAUCCAUCCAUUGUAAUGAACUUGGUUGUAUGGGCAUUUACCUAUUUGACUUAGGCUUGCUUCAUCACAUAUAGACUGCUUUUCUUUUCCCCACUGCUUGUAUGACCUAAAACUAUCAUGUAUAUGAGGCAAGUUAUUAGCAAUGUUUCACAUUUUCUUACUUGCAAUACUGUGCUUGCCUAUUUCAG